RNAcentral lists this small nuclear RNA (148 nucleotides) under Sciurus vulgaris (Eurasian red squirrel). RNAcentral describes it as "U4 spliceosomal RNA (ENSSVLG00005005457.1)". It matches the Rfam family "U4 spliceosomal RNA". Rfam says of the family: U4 small nuclear RNA (U4 snRNA) is a component of the major U2-dependent spliceosome. Lineage: Eukaryota; Metazoa; Chordata; Mammalia; Rodentia; Sciuridae. The record is from Rfam by way of RNAcentral.
AGCUUAUCAUAGUGGCAGUAUCAUAGCCAAUGAAGCUUAUCCAAGGUGUAAUUAUUGCUCAUUGAAAUUUUUUUCCCAAUAUCCCAUCAUAACAACUUGAAAUAUAGAUAGCAUUGGCAAUUUUUAAAAAGGCAGGGUGGAGUAGGCU